AUACGGAGGAUCCGAGCGUUAUCCGGAUUUAUUGGGUUUAAAGGGAGCGUAGGUGGACAGUUAAGUCAGUUGUGAAAGUUUGCGGCUCAACCGUAAAAUUGCAGUUGAUACUGGCUGUCUUGAGUACAGUAGAGGUGGGCGGAAUUCGUGGUGUAGCGGUGAAAUGCUUAGAUAUCACGAAGAACUCCGAUUGCGAAGGCAGCUCACUGGACUGCAACUGACACUGAUGCUCGAAAGUGUGGGUAUCAAACAGGAUUAGAUACCCUGGUAGUCCACACAGUAAACGAUGAAUACUCGCUGUUUGCGAUAUACAGUAAGCGGCCAAGCGAAAGCAUUAAGUAUUCCAUCUGGGGAGUACGCCGGCAACGGUGAAACUCAAAGGAAUUGACGGGG
RNAcentral lists this ribosomal RNA (393 nucleotides) under uncultured bacterium. RNAcentral's name for it is "partial 16S ribosomal RNA". It matches the Rfam family "Bacterial small subunit ribosomal RNA", at positions 523 to 918 of the family's 1533-position model. The record is from RNAcentral.